RNAcentral lists this ribosomal RNA (510 nucleotides) under uncultured bacterium. RNAcentral's name for it is "bacterial SSU rRNA". It matches the Rfam family "Bacterial small subunit ribosomal RNA", at positions 15 to 518 of the family's 1533-position model. The record is from RNAcentral.
GAUCAUGGCUCAGGACGAACGCUGGCGGCGUGCAUAACACAUGCAAGUCGAGCGAAGUGCUUAUCAUGAAAUCUUCGGAUUGAUUGAUAAACCACUUAGCGGCGGAUGGGGUGAGUAACGCGUGAGGAACCUGCCUUCUACAAGGGGAUAGCCUCGGGAAACCGGGAUUAAUACCCUAUGAUGCUUAAUAGCCACAUGACUAUUAAGUUAAAGCAAAUUAGCGGUAGUAGAUGGCCUCGCGUCCCAUUAGCUAGUUGGUAAGGUAAUGGCUUACCAAGGCUGCGAUGGGUAGCCGGCUUGAGAGAGUGACCGGCCACACUGGAACUGAGACACGGUCCAGACUCCUACGGGAGGCAGCAGUGGGGAAUAUUGCACAAUGGAGGGAAAAACCUCUGAUGGAGCGACGCCGCGUGAGCGAUGAAGGCUUUCGGGUCGUAAAGUUCUGUCCUAGGGGACGAUAAUGACGGUACCCUAGGAGGAAGCCCCGGCUAACUACGUGCCAGCCGCAGC